Myotis brandtii (Brandt's bat) is the source of this 888-nucleotide long non-coding RNA. RefSeq lists it as uncharacterized. The transcript is spliced from 5 exons. The record is from RefSeq and is a predicted model, not a curated record. NCBI's taxonomy places the organism in Eukaryota, Metazoa, Chordata, Mammalia, Chiroptera, Vespertilionidae.
CAUCAGACUUCCCGUUGGAUGUGCUUUGCCCUUGAUUUCCAGCUGGGAGAGCACCCUUCUGUGCAGGGGUAGAUGGCCUUGCAGAUCCAGUUUCCAGUUUGCCUCGUUCCUGCAACAUCCUUGAGAGCGUUUCUAACACUGCUCGGGGUCCUCUUCAAAUGACUCCGGAUUAUGGAAUCCUUGGCCUCAGUCCCCACCACCCCCUGGCACUGCCCCUACUGUCUGGGGCUUCAACUAUAUUUCUCCUCUAGCGGCCAUGAGGCAAGCCUGCCCAGGCAUUGAUUUUCUCCCUCUGUCCCUCGCCCUCAGUUGUCCUUAGUUGACUCACAAAAAGCUAUGUGUUAACUGCUUUUUCUUCAGAGCAAGUGAAAGCAAAAGAAAAUAAAAUGAGCCAUAAUCACCUCAGAAAAAAAUUAUCUCAGUGAAGCCACUGGAUACACAGUGGGAAGAACAGGAAGCAAAGUCCAAAGUCUGUUUCUGGGUCUGGACCAGCCAGAGCAGGAGGAGAGAGGUUGGCCUCCUCAAGGUGUGAGCUCUGAUUCCUUGAGAAGAUGCCCGUAAAAGAAAGUACUGCAUUCAUGCUCAGUUUGGGAGCAAGUGGUCUGAAAAUAUUGGCAUCAGGGACCAGUGCGCUUGUGCUAUCCGUGGGCGUGGUGGCAGUAGGACUCAUAGGAAUCGGCGUCUACUGCUACAAUAAGGCCAGCGAAAACAAGACCCAGAAAAUGCAUUGACAGGAAUCCUUUCCAAUCACCUGGCCAGAAGGAGAAGGCUCCACCUUCUUGGGGAAUGUGUGAAGCAACAUGCUAUACACAGUUUAUAUUUUGAUUAUGAACAAAGUCAACUUUUGAGCAAAAUAAAAAUUAAUUAAAUACACAUUGAUUGAGUGCA